CCUGGCUCAGAUUGAACGCUGGCGGCAUGCUUUACACAUGCAAGUCGGACGGCAGCACAGAGAAGUUUGCUUCUUGGGUGGCGAGUGGCGAACGGGUGAGUAACAUAUCGGAACGUACCGAGCAGUGGGGGAUAACUAAUCGAAAGAUUAGCUAAUACCGCAUAUAUUCUGAGGAAGAAAGCAGGGGACCAUUUGGCCUUGCGCUGUUUGAGCGGCCGAUAUCUGAUUAGCUGGUUGGUGGGGUAAAGGCCUACCAAGGCGACGAUCAGUAGCGGGUCUGAGAGGAUGAUCCGCCACACUGGGACUGAGACACGGCCCAGACUCCUACGGGAGGCAGCAGAAGGG
RNAcentral lists this ribosomal RNA (345 nucleotides) under uncultured Neisseria sp. RNAcentral describes it as "bacterial SSU rRNA". It matches the Rfam family "Bacterial small subunit ribosomal RNA", at positions 18 to 359 of the family's 1533-position model. Lineage: Bacteria; Pseudomonadati; Pseudomonadota; Betaproteobacteria; Neisseriales; Neisseriaceae. The record is from RNAcentral.